RNAcentral lists this long non-coding RNA (200 nucleotides) under Elaeis guineensis (African oil palm). RNAcentral's name for it is "long non-coding RNA (EGUI_LNC037474)". The record is from RNAcentral. Lineage: Eukaryota; Viridiplantae; Streptophyta; Magnoliopsida; Arecales; Arecaceae.
AUCGAUGUAUGAUACAUCCUUUUUAUGAUCAAAAUUUUUCGACCCCAUGCAUGCCUUGGACAACAACCAAAAUAGUCGACCCACGAUAAUGAGUGCUUGAUAAUGUGAUGGUCAAUCUUUGGAUCUUAAGUAAAUACAUCAAAUGCAAAAAUCUUAAGUCUUGACAAUGUACAUCUAUAUGUAGUAUUCCAAGAUCCCCC